This 421-nucleotide ribosomal RNA is filed under the name Salmonella enterica. Its description in RNAcentral is "partial 23S ribosomal RNA". It matches the Rfam family "Bacterial large subunit ribosomal RNA", at positions 1 to 452 of the family's 2925-position model. Lineage: Bacteria; Pseudomonadati; Pseudomonadota; Gammaproteobacteria; Enterobacterales; Enterobacteriaceae. The record is from RNAcentral.
GGGUUGUGAGGUUAAGCGACUAAGCGUACACGGUGGAUGCCCUGGCAGUCAGAGGCGAUGAAGGGCGUGCUAAUCUGCGAUAAGCGCCGGUAAGGUGAUAUGAACCGUUAUAACCGGCGAUACCCGAAUGGGGAAACCCAGUGUGACUCGUCACACUAUCAUUAACUGAAUCCAUAGGUUAAUGAGGCGAACCGGGGGAACUGAAACAUCUAAGUACCCCGAGGAAAAGAAAUCAACCGAGAUUCCCCCAGUAGCGGCGAGCGAACGGGGAGGAGCCCAGAGCCUGAAUCAGCAUAUGUGUUAGUGGAAGCGUCUGGAAAGGCGCGCGAUACAGGGUGACAGCCCCGUACACAAAAGCGCAUGUGCUGUGAGCUCGAUGAGUAGGGCGGGACACGUGGUAUCCUGUCUGAAUAUGGGGGGA